UAAACUCCUAGAACAUCUCACACACAGGUAACAAAAACUGCACGAUUAACAGAUACAUAAGCACAUAAAGAUCACGGAUGAGGAGUAAAUGGAUUUAUGUGGCUAUCCUGGGGAUAGCAUGCAUGAUGCUUGGAGUCAAUGGGAGCAAUACAACAAGCAGUAGCAACUCUACAGACAGCUGGAUAUCUUCUAACAUGACCACCAGCCUGACCCAGACGCUACCAACCAACAUGACCACCAACCUGACCCAGACACUACCACCCAACAUUACCACCAACCUGACCCAGACGAACCCACCCAGCAUGACCACCAACCUAAACCAGGACAUCACUGGCAGGGAUAACUGCAAGAGGGAUAGGGCAUGUUUCUCCGCUCCACCUUCCUGUAAUCCAGGUGCAGAAGGUUCCUGCUAUUUUCUUUCCACAAGAGGAGUAAGCGGAAAUGCAGAUAAUUUUACUUUUGAGCUGAGUGGCGAGACAGAUGGUUACAUUGGAGCUGGCCUCUCUCGAGACAGCAGUGGUCAAGGUGCCACCGUCUAUUCUUGUGCCAAAUUCAAUGGUGCACUGAGGUUAAUUCGUUCCACACUGAACAAUCAAAUAUUGAUGCAGGAUAAUACAUUUAUCCCUGGAAGCUUCCGAGGCUCAGUCAUUGGUAGAAAGAUUCAAUGCAUUUUCAAUGCUGCAGGUCUCAGCAGCACCACCCGUUCUGCAACCACAGACACUUUUGUCUUCCUUUUAACAGGCAGCAUAUCAAAUGGUUCUCUGGAUUCUCCAGUCAGUAGACUGACCACAAAUGGGUCAGUGGACUUAAGCAACCCCAACAGCACAGACGUUUCAGUAAUAACACCCAGUACAAAUGCCACUGCAUCUAAUACCACAGCAACAUCAACCACCACUGCAGCAUCUACAAACUUGACCCAGACGGUAUUUCCCAACAUAACCGCCAACCUGACCCAGACAAACCCUCCCAACAUUACCGCCAACCUGACCCAGACACACCCUCCCAACAUAAC
Molecule: long non-coding RNA, 1012 nt
Organism: Cyprinus carpio carpio
Lineage: Eukaryota; Metazoa; Chordata; Actinopteri; Cypriniformes; Cyprinidae
Source: Ensembl